Molecule: ribosomal RNA, 253 nt
Filed under: uncultured bacterium
Lineage: Bacteria
Description: partial 16S ribosomal RNA
Rfam family: Bacterial small subunit ribosomal RNA
Source: RNAcentral
GACGAACCGUGCGAACGUUGUUCGGAAUCACUGGGCUUAAAGGGCGCGUAGGCGGGCUAUCAAGUCCGGGGUGAAAUCCUCCAGCUUAACUGGAGAACGGCCUCGGAUACUGAUGGUCUCGAGGGGGAUAGGGGCACGCGGAACUGUGGGUGGAGCGGUGAAAUGCGUUGAUAUCCAUAGGAACUCCGGUGGCGAAAGCGGCGUGCUGGAUCCCUUCUGACGCUGAGGCGCGAAAGCCAGGGGAGCAAACGGG